Ruditapes philippinarum (Manila clam) is the source of this 1568-nucleotide long non-coding RNA. RefSeq lists it as uncharacterized. The transcript is spliced from 3 exons. Lineage: Eukaryota; Metazoa; Mollusca; Bivalvia; Venerida; Veneridae. The record is from RefSeq and is a predicted model, not a curated record.
AAAUACGAUUAAAAUCGAUAACAAUAUUGACAAGGCUAGACGAGUUUAAAACAUAAAAUGUUUUAUUAAGGUGUUAAUUCGUUUCUAAAUAGCCGUGUAUAAAUCUUUCGACUUUAACAGCUAAAAUGGCAGUUAAAAGUAUUUACAUAGCUUUGAUAAUACUUUUAACUCUGAAUGUGACCGUAGAUACAUUUUUUGUUGAUCUAGAUUUUGAAGAUUUUGAAGAUCGGAUAGUGAAACCAAUGACAGCAAAAGCGUUUUGUCCGGACAAUGAUCAAGCUGUGAAUAGUAAAUGGCGCUUGGAUGUGAAAAAUAAUGUCAUGAGAUGUAUCCUUGACUGCAAUAAAGGGUACAGUCCAAAUGGAUGUCACGUUAUCAGGAAAGAUGUAAAUGGCAAAUGGAAGAAGAAUAUCCCAACAUGUGAAAAAGAUAAGUUCUUAAUGUUCGAGGAGAACAUUUAUCUAAAUAGAAAUGAUUAAAUAAAUAAAUAAAUAAAUGUGUACACAAGAACCGCAGUAGUCGUGGAGCUAUCAAAUAAAUUCUAUAUACAUCAUUCACAUGAUCAAACAUACAUGUUGAUAUAAAACACCUCAAUAUUUUCAAUUUAAACGUUUUUGAUUUCGUUUUGGUAAGUGUAUUUUUUGUCUUAUUUGACUCAUAUCAUAAUACUUUGUUUGUUUGUCUAGACUUUAUGCCUAUUUCACACAUCUUUUGGUCAAAAGUCGGUGAACAGUCACCCUUACCGGCUUUCCUUGAUAAUUAACCAAUAAUUGCCAUUUUCUCCGUAUACCUGUACGAAUACCAGAGGAUUCGAGGAUUCCUAAAUCAGCGAUGGAGAGAAAUGACCGUAAAUCUCUAUGUUCGACAUAAGUUGUCACGAAAAAAAGUCACAUCAUCCCAGGAUCGAACCGGCCACAUGUUGUUGCAAAUCAUAAGUUGUCCCUAAUAAGUUCCGCGCAUGAACUUUUUUCACAUUGAUUAUUAGAUUUUUAAGCAUAUGUAUUACAGAUGAAGGAUUAAGUAAAAAGAAACUAGCAUGUUACGCAGCGAUAGGUGGGGCUAUAGCCGCAUCUCCUUAUAUUCUCAGUGCUCUAGGAUUCGGCUCUGCUGGAAUAGUAGCUGGUUCAAUAGCAGCUAAAUGGAUGUCCUAUAUCGGGGUUGUUAGUAAGGGUAGUUUAUUUGCGUGGUUACAAAGUGUCGGCAUGAAAGGUAUAGAUCUAAGCCCAGAAGCGACGAAACAACUGUUUGAUUCUAUCGGUGAUGUUUGUGUUGGGGUCAUAGACAUAUUCUCAGAUUGUGAAUCGGAAUAAAAACUACCAACAAAAAACCUUGAACAAUUCUUGUAGUUGUUUGUUAAUCAAACUUAUAGUUUUCGAUAUUUUUUCUUCAAAACGUUGAUGGAAAUUAAAAUUUAGAACAAUUUACGGAAAAAACAUGUUUUAUAUUCUGAAUUUAUACAACAGAAAAGGGUUUCUGUUCUUACAUAAUAGUGAUUCUGAUAAUGUUAUAUAUAGGUGUAAUUUGUACAUAGAACAUAAUUACAUACAAUCAUUAAAACACUUCGUUUU